This 7503-nucleotide unclassified non-coding RNA is filed under the name Limulus polyphemus (Atlantic horseshoe crab). Its description in RNAcentral is "uncharacterized LOC111086618, transcript variant X7". Lineage: Eukaryota; Metazoa; Arthropoda; Merostomata; Xiphosura; Limulidae. The record is from RNAcentral.
CAGAGUUUUGCAGUGAAGCAUGCUUGUCAAGCGCAGCGUGCGUGCGUACAUGCUGUAUAGCAUACUGUUUGAAAAUUAAUGUUGUACAUUAUUCUACUCUGGGGAUCACGGAGACGCGUUUUUCUAUUAUUUCAUUACGGUCUUUUUCCGUAUUGUUUCUACGCUUGUAAGGAGAUUCCUGAGCUUGUGGGACCGAGCAGUCGAAAUUUCGUUAGUGAUAGACUCAAACGAUUUCCUAAUGAAAAUAAAUCCAAUUUUUUUAAGUGUUAAGGCUUCGAACACCAUUCGCUGCUUGCAUGGUGUAUAAUGGUUGAAUCUAUUAAGCCUAACUCUAUUAUGGUUAACUUCAGUUUAUUCUGUUCGCAACAGCACUCGGUUUUGAACGAAAUAUUUUAUAUUUUCAUUGCUUCACGAGGUAGUUUCACAGAUUUUGGUAAUUUAUUCUGUGGUGAAGGGUGUUUCUACUUAUCGUUCUCCAUUAGAGGAGACUUUUUAAACCUCUCAUUAUGCCUCUAGUGCGAAUCAUAGACAAACGGUCUUAAGUAAUAACGAACACAGUAUGCCUUAUGUUGUUGUUUCGUGACAUGAUUCUCUGUUUUGACAAUAUGGGUCUGUCAGUUCGUUAGAGUAGAAGUUAUAUACAGUGAAUUGUUAAGUUUGAGUAGUUAGUAGUUGUGAACUGAUUCUUGUUAACUACUUAGUUUGUUAAAUAAAUAACAUAGCUCACGUUUAAGUCGAUAGGAAGCGUUUAAUUAAAGCCAUUCUCCGAACAUUAUGGGCAACGAAACUAGUCAGGAGCAAGGUGGAGAACCGACAGCCCGAGAACCAAGUGGACAAGCUUUUCCAGGACGAUCACAAGAACAGACGCAAAGUGGAUUGGGGUUUAGUUCAGUAGGGGGGCUUUCAGCCUCCCAACAAUCUCAAGCCCAAGAGAGCAAAUUUAGAACUUUAGGAAGUACUCCGGACCAAGGAAAGAUGACACCUACGUUGCCUGUACAAGUGCCGGCAGCACCACAACUUGAUCUUAGUGAUCUCUCCGAGGAGGAAAAGUCCAAAAUUUUAUCCGUUAUGGCAAAGGCAGAGCAUAUGGACAAAGAUCUAGAAAUACAUAGACAAAAAGUUCAGCACACUCGACAAGAGCACAAUCUAGGGACUACCUCAACGCCACCUACUGGUCUACCUCAGCAUCAACAGCUUUGCCCCCAGUGUCACGUGACGGUUUUAACAGCUGAAACCACAUCACAGUGUGCGGACUGCAAGAUAGCAGUCUGUCGGAAAUGUGGGACGUCUCUGGCGGAAGGAGAGGGAAGGGCUGUGUGGGUCUGUGUUGAGUGUAUACGUCGUAGAUCACAGAUGUCUACCAGCCAACCCCGAAGACAACCAGACCGAGAAAUCGCUUAUCAGAAUCAAUAUUUAGCGCCACCUGGUAGUAGAAAGCAACAGCAGGGAUACAAAGAAGAAGCUUCUGGAGAAGAUUUGCAAAAUCAAGAUGGAAGGCGUCUACACUCCAAAUCUCGAACGAGUCGGAUAGGUCAAGCACAACAGGCAGAUUCCAAAAGGGGAGAACACUCUGGAGAGAGUAGAAUGCAAAGAAACGAUUCCCAUAUUAGCGUAUCGCAAGAUGCACAGAACUACCGCACAAUAAAAAAACAAUUUUCUCAUGACGCUGUGGACCAACCUCCACUACCUUGGGCUCCUGUUUCUGUGACAACACAUUCAUCUGAUCAGCAAAAAUCAUAUCAACCACCCUUACCCUGGGCUCCUAUUACCACAGCACCAUCUCAUCAAAUGAGGCUUCAACAAACAUUUGAGUCUUCCCACAAAGGUAGUCCUUUGCAACAUUCAAGCUCAGCUGACGUUGAGCCUAUGCUUUAUUCUAAUACUCAGUACAGUAUUUCAAACAGAAGUCAUGUAACUACUAGUGAAGGUGCUAGUGGACAGUCUUCUUUUUUCUCCUCAGAAAAGAUGGCUUCUUAUUCUUCUAUGACUCAGGAUAUUCCUCAGCAGCAGCAGAAACAGCAACAAGCACUCUCAUACCAAUCACCGAAAUCAAGCAUCAAUGAAUUACAAAAUCAGAAGAAACAGAAACAACGGUCUGAUAGUCAGGAAUGGUCCCCAAUGAUGGACCUUUCUCCUAUUGUUGAUGUCUCACCUUCUCUGGAAGCAGCAGAACAGGAAUUAAUGGAAAAAUACCAAGAUUAUAUUCCUCCGAUGUCUAUGCCAAGAGUAACCAGUGGCACUAUUCCCGAAAUGCUAGAAAAUUUUCAAAGGUCUGUACAGCAAACGCCUGAAGACCCUCAGCUCAAGAUGCAGCAUUUCUCAUCCUUAGAUGCACGCCAUUUAUCUGCAACUUCCACAGAAGUAGCCAAAGCUGGUAAGGUCAUUCCUAUGACGAUAGUUAAUCAGCCUUCUCGGACGACUGAAAGAACUCGGCCAAUGCCCAAAGAACAAGUAGCCCCUUUCUCUACGGUACAGAUAGCGUCUACUUCUCAAUCUCAAAGUUCAAAAGCUAGUAGCAUCCGUAGAGUCCACAGGAGGUUGCCUCAGCCCACUUUAGAGCAAAUGCAAGAAGCUAUAGCACUGGCAGCUCAAACCCCAAAGUUCAAAUUAUCCCAUAAUCGUGGUCAAACAGGGUCUCCACAAACUCCGAAGGGUUUAGUCAGUAGUGCAGAAGGGAAAAAUGUAUCAAGACAAAAAUUAAUGGAUAAAAGUCCAGUUGUUCAACAGCAGCACCAGUCUUUUGCACAUUCAGAAAUAGAACAAAGAGGUGAAAUGAUGAAAAGGACAGCAGCCGAUUCGGAUAAAAGUGUUCUUCGUUCUCAGACCUCUGGUUUGAACGUUUCCACAGCAUCGGCUUUUGGUCUACAAUCUUAUGGUGAAACACACAGCCUAACUUUGCCCUCUACAACCACUUACCAAUCUACAAGUCUACCGUAUGAUAGUGGCCUUCAAGCUAUGUCUUCAACAUUAGGAAUGAUGUACGGCAGUAGUCAACCAUUAUUGAUGGCUUCGUCCCAGAUAUACCCAUUGGGACCGGAGAGAGAUAUUUUAAAUACUAGAGGACUAGAAACAACAAGCCUUAGCUACAGCAGAUCGUCUUCUGUUCCUGACUCUGUCAGCAAGAUCGGGGUACACAGUCUCGGAACAAGAGAUAAGACAGGAGAUUCGUCUGACGCACAGAGUGAUACGGGAAGCACGAUGUCGGCCAAACUUCGACACACCUUUCCAUACAUGUCUUCAAGCCAGGAAAUACCUUCCGCGGCAGUCGUUCCCCACCGAAAAGAUCGGAAACGAAAUUUAUCUGUUGGAAGUAACCCAAUUGUUAUUGAAGAGAGAACUCAAUAUAGGCCUUUUCCUCAACGAGCGUCUUCUUUAGAAGAACGUGGUCCUAUUUCGGUGGGUUCUAAUGUUGUAGGUGCCAAUUCCCUUUCUUACGUUCCAAUCUAUUCUUCUACAGAAGCGUAUUUAGGUCGUCGGGCUGACUCCUUAUCCGAGUAUUAUAUGCCUAAAACAGACUACUAUUCACGAUCAGCACCAGGAGAACCAAGUCGCACAAUAGCAAGCGAUUUUUUGCCUCGAACAAUGAGGCAACCUUCAGAGCUCGGUGUGGCCCGAGAAACUCUCCCCUCCUACAUGUAUAGUUUGAAGCAACGACUCUGGGAUGAAAUUAAAACGGUAACAGACGAAAGAAGACGACUCGCUGAUUUACGCCAUAAAAGUGAAACUGAUAUUACCUCUCUGUUGCCUCCUACCGAUUACUUGAAUGAACCGAAUAGAAAAGCUCUGUACAGUGAAGGAAAACGGAUAAGAAUUCGUUCCGGACCUGUUAGAACCAUUUCAACAUCUGCGCAGACGUCUCCCCAAGACACAGACAGAGAGUUCUUUUAUAUCCACCCUUCUGCACAUACCAUGGAAAAAAGAAAUAUCCACUUUGCCAAAGGUUACAGGGAUUUCUCUGACGACUUGACACGCUAUGUGUUGGUUCCUUCAAAAACAUUCGAGUCUUCCCAUGAGAAGAAGUUGUCGGAUGAUUUACCUAGGCCAUCAUUGUAUCCAGAAACAUUCAGAGGUUUAGCUCGUCAAACAGGUUUCCAUGCGCAAGAUAAUCCUCGAGACAUCCUUGCACUUCGACUCAGGGAAACCGCCAUAUCUGAUAACAUUAGAGACCAAACAGCUUUAUUAAACCGUUAUAAACGAGGGCGAACAAGACAUCCAAGGUACAGCGGGGACUCCUUUUCGGAUACAGGGGCAGGAUGGAAUUCUCCUGAAAUGAGUAGAGGUUAUUCCUACUUUUAUGAAAGCAGAAAGAAGCGACAAGACCCCCAGAUCCGAAAACCAAGGUCUUGGCAUCCAUCUCCUUACGGCUCAGAUGAUGAAGAGGAUAUAUUGACAAGGGACGAGAUUAGUAGAAUCAAAGGAGAGCCAGUUGGAAGUCUUCCCUACGCAGAAGAUACAGACAGACUUCGAAAGGAGCUUAGAAAGCUAGCAAGGAAACGAGAAACUUACGAGAGAACGAGUUGUAAUGCUUCUUAUCCUGGAGAAAGAAUGAUGCCAUCUCGACGACGGGUACGAGAUGCACGAAAUAAUUUAGGAUACUUAUAUUCCCACAACUCUGACAUGUAUCAUACAGGACCAACUUGGACUAAACAUGAUACGGGAAGUAGCAAGAUAACUAGAUCAGGCGAUUAUUUCAAUGCCACAGUCCCUGCUAGCUAUUCAAACCCAUCCCUAUCCAGAUAUGGGUAUGUUCGACAACCUGACGUACUUUAUUACGGUAGCGAACCAACAAGCCCAUUGGCCCGUUUUCAAGAAAGUACAGUCGAAGAUAAAAGUAUGUCUAGAGGAUUAUUAACUAUCCCAACAACUACUGCUACUCCUUACAAAACUCGGCGCCAGAACCGAUUACAAAUAGAGUCCAUCUUGGACUUCUCUCCUGCAACAACAGACUCUGAGACGCCACCAGAUCACUCGGAAAAUACGUCGGCUCCUCCUGGCAUUGACUAUUGUUCUCAAAAUCUCUUGGAAGAUUUCAACAGCACCAACAUUGUUGCUCGUCGCUCUCACCAAUCCCAAAGAAACAUUAGCAAUUCUGACCGGUCUAGAGGUCGUCCGAGAGAUGGAACAGCUAGAGAAGAAGAAUAUAGGGAGGAGAAAGUCCAAGAGAAGAAACCACACAAAUGGGGGUGUACAUACAGCUUUCCAGUAAAGAGAAUUCUUCUAACACGGGAUCCGAAGGAUCGGUUUGUAAAGGGCAAUGGAUUUGGCUUAGAAAUUGUUGGUGGCAAAGAGCUUUCAAACAAUAGUAAUUUAACAGGAGCAUAUAUUGCUAAAAUCUACCCUGGAGUAAUGGCUAGUAUACUAAAUGAAGUUGCUGUUGGUGAUCAGGUUAUAGAGUGGAAUGGAAUAAAUUUAAACGGAAAAACGUAUGAAGAGGUAAAAAGAAUUGUUGCAUCUUCUGGAGAUGAAGUAGAAAUGAUUAUUAGAAGUGAUUUAAAUGUCCUCAAACAGCAGGAAGUGAGUCACGUGCAGCGACACUCAUCCAGUGAUGGACUUGGACGAUACGAUGAUCCUUGUACAGGUCACAACCCACGUGACUAUGGCAGUACAGGACAGGAUUAUGGAAGGCUCUCCCUAGAACAGGACUAUUUCAGAGGGAACAACGGUUCACGAAGUGGCUGGAAACACAAUAACGCCGAAAACCCAACCUCAUCCCAUCUCCCCAACCCACAAAUCAAUGGGUUUGAUCGCUUAACUUCUUCUGUAAUUGAACCUAACGCAGAAAAUCAAGUGGACUUUGCUGACGUCGACACUGAAGAUAUUCCAUUGCUUACACAUCACCAAUCAGAAGCGACCAAUCAAAGUUGUCAUUCAGUGUUACCUCUUUCUACAUCAUCCUACCAGGGGCCUCCCGCUGCUGUUCCUGUCUCACGAGCCUUCAAUCAGAACUGUUCGAAAAUGAGUCCAACAGAUGAUGAACAGUACAAGCUCCAAGCACAACAUAUAACCGGAGAAAUCAAGAUUCAAGUAUGUUUUGACUCAAAGGCAGCGAUACUCUACGUGACUGUUGUUAAAGCACGAAAUCUUGGAACAUCAAGGGACAAUAGUGGAUUUCCCGAUCCUUUUGUCAAGUGUUAUCUGUUGCCAGGUCGAUGUAUCGAGAACCAGAGACGAACAAGGUAUUUUUCUCGGUGCAGUAAUCCAGAGUGGAAUCAAACAAUGGUCUAUCCUAACGUUACCAUGGGCAUGCUUCAGGAAAAGUUUCUGGAAAUUAGCGUGUGGAACUAUGAUAUACAUAAACCUAGCGAAUUUCUUGGAGAAAUCAUCCUGAACCUUGCAAAUGAAUGUAUAAUUGAUGAACAGGCUCGCUGGUAUAAGCUUCAAAAACAUGACAAAAGUCGUUAUCCACGUGACCCAUCGGGGAAAACAAGAGGUAGCCAUGAAGGUGACAGAGAAGACCACAAGAUGGCGCGCCUGAAUCAUGCAAACGGGGAUAUUAAGUUUCCAGUGAGUGGCCAGAACCAUAGGGUCUCUAUCUUCCCAACAAGCAACCUCACAGCUCAUCCAUUGAUACCUCAAGGGUGCCACGGUGCAGGGUGCAACAUAUUCUAACUAGCUAUAACGGACACCACAAACGGGAGUUUGGUACUGCCAAUCAAGAGUGACAAACAGAAAGUAUAAACGUUGGACCAAAGACUUGCUGCUGUUUAUUCUGUGGUAUUGUCGACGUUUUGCUUCUCAAGAACUACCUGUUCUAGGAUUACUUUUUGAAUGCACAAAGCUUUGGACUAAACUGAUCCUACUUAUUGUGCAUGUCGAUUGUGUUCGUAAAAUAUUGCCCCUCUCUAACCAAUCCUUCAUUGGCUACGUGCCUCAAAACGCUGUUUCAACGGCGUCCUUGACAUCGAAUUAGUCUAGUUUAGUUGGUUUAUCAACAUAAGUAAGAUAAUUCUGAUAUUAAAUAUGAUCAUAGUCUUAUAUUCCAUGUUUCUUUCUAAGAACACAAUCGUGUGAAAUGCUAGAAAAUUAUAUAGUCUGUAUAUACAAUAUGGAUUCUCAAAGCUUAUAAUCUAACACUGUAUGGAGAUUCAAUACCAGAAGUGUACGCCGAAAUGUUUAAGUUUAUAAUCUAAAGAAACUGUAUAUAGUAGCUGGAGAUUCAAUAUCAGACGAGUAUACUGUAAUUCAUAAGCUUAUAAAUGGUCUAACACAAAAUUCUAAGGAUUAAGUAUCAGAAGGAUAUACUAUAAUACCUAAGUUCAUGACUUGUGUAACACAAUUAUAUAGAAACUGCCUGAGGAUUCAGUAUUAAAUAUGUACACUGUAAUCCUUAAGUUUAUAAACUAUCAAACAUAAUUGUUACAAACUUUCUGAGAGUUAAAUAUCAGAUAGUUACACAGUAAUUUCUAAGUUCUAAACUGUGUAACACAACUGUACACAAACUUUUAAGGACUUAUUACUAGAUGGGGACUAUGUAAUCUUUCAGAUAGCUUUAGUUUAUAAACU